AUUCUCUAGUGGCGCACGGAUGAGUAACACGUGAGUAACCUGCCCCCGAGAGCGGGAUAGCCCUGGGAAACUGGGAUUAAUACCGCAUAGUAUCGAAAGAUUAAAGCAGCAAUGCGCUUGGGGAUGGGCUCGCGGCCUAUUAGUUAGUUGGUGAGGUAACGGCUCACCAAGGCGAUGACGGGUAGCCGGUCUGAGAGGAUGUCCGGCCACACUGGAACUGAGACACGGUCCAGACACCUACGGGUGGCAGCAGUCGAGAAUCAUUCACAAUGGGGGAAACCCUGAUGGUGCGACGCCGCGUGGGGGAAUGAAGGUCUUCGGAUUGUAAACCCCUGUCAUGUGGGAGCAAAUUAAAAAGAUAGUACCACAAGAGGAAGAGACGGCUAACUCUGUGCCAGCAGCCGCGGUAAUACAGAGGUCUCAAGCGUUGUUCGGAAUCACUGGGCGUAAAGCGUGUGUAGGCUGUUUCGUAAGUCGUGUGUGAAAGGCGCGGGCUCAACCCGCGGACGGCACAUGAUACUGCGAGACUAGAGUAAUGGAGGGGGAACCGGAAUUCUCGGUGUAGCAGUGAAAUGCGUAGAUAUCGAGAGGAACACUCGUGGCGAAGGCGGGUUCCUGGACAUUAACUGACGCUGAGGCACGAAGGCCAGGGGAGCGAAAGGGAUUAGAUACCCCUGUAGUCCUGGCAGUAAACGGUGCACGCUUGGUGUGCGGGGAAUCGACCCCCUGCGUGCC
RNAcentral lists this ribosomal RNA (735 nucleotides) under uncultured bacterium. RNAcentral's name for it is "bacterial SSU rRNA". It matches the Rfam family "Bacterial small subunit ribosomal RNA", at positions 87 to 847 of the family's 1533-position model. The record is from RNAcentral.